Patella vulgata (common limpet) is the source of this 78-nucleotide small nucleolar RNA. NCBI's taxonomy places the organism in Eukaryota, Metazoa, Mollusca, Gastropoda, Patellidae. The record is from RefSeq and is a predicted model, not a curated record.
UGGCAAUGAUGUUAAACAAUUCCUUCACCUGAUUAAAAGUGAAGAUAAAAAAAUUAACUAUUCUCGAGUCUGAGCUAU